This 467-nucleotide ribosomal RNA is filed under the name uncultured bacterium. Its description in RNAcentral is "partial 16S ribosomal RNA". It matches the Rfam family "Bacterial small subunit ribosomal RNA", at positions 28 to 507 of the family's 1533-position model. The record is from RNAcentral.
GAUGAACGCUGGCGGCGUGCUUAACACAUGCAAGUCGAACGAUGAAGCCCAGCUUGCUGGGUGGGUUAGUGGCGAACGGGUGAGUAACACGUGAGCAACCUGCCCCUGACUCUGGGAUAAGCGCUGGAAACGGCGUCUAAUACUGGAUAUGUCCCGUCACCGCAUGGUGUGCGGGUGGAAAGAUUUUUCGGUUGGGGAUGGGCUCGCGGCCUAUCAGCUUGUUGGUGAGGUAAUGGCUCACCAAGGCGUCGACGGGUAGCCGGCCUGAGAGGGUGACCGGCCACACUGGGACUGAGACACGGCCCAGACUCCUACGGGAGGCAGCAGUGGGGAAUAUUGCACAAUGGGCGGAAGCCUGAUGCAGCAACGCCGCGUGAGGGAUGACGGCCUUCGGGUUGUAAACCUCUUUUAGCAGGGAAGAAGCGAAAGUGACGGUACAUGCAGAAAAAGCACCGGCUAACUACGUG